GAUGAACGCUGGCGGCGUGCCUAAUACAUGCAAGUCGAGCGAACAGACGAGGAGCUUGCUCCUCUGACGUUAGCGGCGGACGGGUGAGUAACACGUGGAUAACCUACCUAUAAGACUGGGAUAACUUCGGGAAACCGGAGCUAAUACCGGAUAAUAUAUUGAACCGCAUGGUUCAAUAGUGAAAGACGGUUUUGCUGUCACUUAUAGAUGGAUCCGCGCCGCAUUAGCUAGUUGGUAAGGUAACGGCUUACCAAGGCAACGAUGCGUAGCCGACCUGAGAGGGGGAUCGGCCAAACGGGAACUGAGACACGGUCCAGACUCCGACGGGAGGCAGCAGUAGGGAAUCUUCCGCAAUGGGCGAAAGCUUGACGGAGCAACGCCGCGUGAGUGAUGAAGGUCUUCGGAUCGUAAAACUCUGUUAUUAGGGAAGAACAAAUGUGUAAGUAACUAUGCACGUCUUGACGGUACCUAAUCAGAAAGCCACGGCUAACUACGUG
RNAcentral lists this ribosomal RNA (497 nucleotides) under uncultured bacterium. Its description in RNAcentral is "partial 16S ribosomal RNA". It matches the Rfam family "Bacterial small subunit ribosomal RNA", at positions 28 to 507 of the family's 1533-position model. The record is from RNAcentral.